UACGUAGGGUGCAAGCGUUGUCCGGAAUUAUUGGGCGUAAAGAGCUCGUAGGCGGUCUGUCGCGUCGGAUGUGAAAAUCCAGGGCUCAACCCUGGACCUGCAUUCGAUACGGGCAGACUAGAGUUCGGUAGGGGAGACUGGAAUUCCUGGUGUAGCGGUGAAAUGCGCAGAUAUCAGGAGGAACACCGGUGGCGAAGGCGGGUCUCUGGGCCGAAACUGACGCUGAGGAGCGAAAGCGUGGGGAGCGAAC
This 250-nucleotide ribosomal RNA is filed under the name uncultured Actinomycetes bacterium. RNAcentral's name for it is "uncultured actinobacterium partial 16S ribosomal RNA". It matches the Rfam family "Bacterial small subunit ribosomal RNA", at positions 524 to 773 of the family's 1533-position model. The record is from RNAcentral. Lineage: Bacteria; Bacillati; Actinomycetota; Actinomycetes.